This 831-nucleotide long non-coding RNA is filed under the name Fukomys damarensis (Damara mole-rat). Its description in RNAcentral is "lncRNA (ENSFDAG00000030530.1)". Lineage: Eukaryota; Metazoa; Chordata; Mammalia; Rodentia; Bathyergidae. The record is from RNAcentral.
UGAUAACAACUUAUGCACAUUUCCUCUGGAACCCAGAGCACAGGAAGGCUGGGCAGUUGGCUGCUAAAAUCAAGGCACUUUCACGAAAACAAUCAAAAAGCCAAGAUUUACUUUGAGAGUUUUCACUCUCAAGGGAAAUGGAUCUCACUGAUCCACAUGGGGACACACGCGUUCCCAGGACCCCUGACUGUGCCAGUGAACCCCGUCACCCAGACCCAGAGCAGCUCAAGAGCCUGCGGCAGAAGUUUGCUUAUUUUUAGCACUUACCUCCCUAAAACUUUUGCCACCAAUAAAACUAGUGUAUUAUGCAACUAGAGAACCAAAGCCGAAGUCAUAUUGUCAGCUCUCCUUGUCUCUAUGUGAUCAUUUGCUAUUUGCCAAACGCCAUUCUAGUUCUGGGAAAACAGCGAGGAGAAAUAGAGUCCCCGGCUUUGGAGAGCUGACAUUCUAGUCGUGAAGACCAGCGAGUACAGAAAGCAGAAGGAAACUGGCUCUGGUACUAAGUGAAGCAACGGUAACGAAUGUAACAGCAGAGUAGAGACGCUUGUGUAUGUGUGUCUGAGGCCACUGGGCAGCGCUGGCUUAGCUAAGAGGAUGAGUGGCUGAGCUCCUAAGGGAGAGAAAACCACAUCUUUGAAGAGAUCUGGGAGCAGCGGAGCCCAAGUACAGGACAAACAAGUGCAAAGGCUCUAGGAAGCUCAAAGGCAUUCUUGCAUUUAAUUUUAAUUUUAAGAUGCAGUUAAUGUUAUGGUGUUGGAUUCUUUCUCGACAAUAAAUAUUUUGAAGGCCUAAAGAUUAUUUUGGUAUAAAUGUGAUACCCAGAGAAAGCAC